Molecule: ribosomal RNA, 576 nt
Filed under: uncultured bacterium
Lineage: Bacteria
Description: bacterial SSU rRNA
Rfam family: Bacterial small subunit ribosomal RNA
Source: RNAcentral
ACGGGUGAGUAAUGUCUGGGAAACUGCCUGAUGGAGGGGGAUAACUACUGGAAACGGUAGCUAAUACCGCAUAACGUCGCAAGACCAAAGAGGGGGACCUUCGGGCCUCUUGCCAUCAGAUGUGCCCAGAUGGGAUUAGCUAGUAGGUGGGGUAACGGCUCACCUAGGCGACGAUCCCUAGCUGGUCUGAGAGGAUGACCAGCCACACUGGAACUGAGACACGGUCCAGACUCCUACGGGAGGCAGCAGUGGGGAAUAUUGCACAAUGGGCGCAAGCCUGAUGCAGCCAUGCCGCGUGUGUGAAGAAGGCCUUCGGGUUGUAAAGCACUUUCAGCGGGGAGGAAGGGGGUAAGGUUAAUAACCUUAUUCAUUGACGUUACCCGCAGAAGAAGCACCGGCUAACUCCGUGCCAGCAGCCGCGGUAAUACGGAGGGUGCAAGCGUUAAUCGGAAUUACUGGGCGUAAAGCGCACGCAGGCGGUCUGUCAAGUCGGAUGUGAAAUCCCCGGGCUCAACCUGGGAACUGCAUUCGAAACUGGCAGGCUAGAGUCUUGUAGAGGGGGGUAGAAUUCCAGGU